GGUUCCCUUCAAUCAGGGAGUCCUGGCUGUAAAGUCAACGGUACUGUUAAUGGCCAUUUUCCUGAUGCAGAUAACGUAGGAAUGGUCGUUGUCAGGGAUAUUGUCAGUAAGUGUGUCAUUGCCCAAUUUAGAGCACACAGAAGUCCUAUUUCAGCGUUGUGCUUUGAUCCUAGUGGGACCCUUUUAGUUACUGCCUCAGUUCAUGGCCAUAACAUAAAUGUUUUCAAAAUAAUGCCUGGACUCUCAGGAAGCUCUUUCAUGGUUGAUGCUGGUACAUCUUACGCACAUCUUUACAGGCUGCAACGUGGAUAUACCAAUGCAGUUAUACAGGACAUCAGUUUCAGU
Molecule: unclassified non-coding RNA, 345 nt
Filed under: Hevea brasiliensis (rubber tree)
Lineage: Eukaryota; Viridiplantae; Streptophyta; Magnoliopsida; Malpighiales; Euphorbiaceae
Source: RNAcentral